AGAGCGAACGCUGGCGGCAGGCCUAACACAUGCAAGUCGAACGGACCCUUCGGGGUUAGUGGCGGACGGGUGAGUAACACGUAGGAACGUGCCUUUUGGUUCGGAAUAGCUCCUGGAAACGGGUGGUAAUGCCGAAUGUGCCCUUCGGGGGAAAGAUUUAUCGCCAUUAGAGCGGCCCGCGUCUGAUUAGCUAGUUGGUGAGGUAAUGGCUCACCAAGGCGACGAUCAGUAGCUGGUCUGAGAGGAUGACCAGCCAC
RNAcentral lists this ribosomal RNA (257 nucleotides) under uncultured soil bacterium. Its description in RNAcentral is "partial 16S ribosomal RNA". It matches the Rfam family "Bacterial small subunit ribosomal RNA", at positions 26 to 311 of the family's 1533-position model. The record is from RNAcentral.